GAGACAGCAGUCGCCGCGGGAAUACGUAGGUGGCAAGCGUUAUCCGGAAUUAUUGGGCGUAAAGCGCGCGUAGGCGGUUUCUUAAGUCUGAUGUGAAAGCCCACGGCUCAACCGUGGAGGGUCAUUGGAAACUGGGAAACUUGAGUGCAGAAGAGGAAAGUGGAAUUCCAUGUGUAGCGGUGAAAUGCGCAGAGAUAUGGAGGAACACCAGUGGCGAAGGCGACUUUCUGGUCUGUAACUGACGCUGAUGUGCGAAAGCGUGGGGAUCAAACAGGAUUAGAUACCCGCGUAGUCCCUGUCUCUUAUAC
This 308-nucleotide ribosomal RNA is filed under the name uncultured bacterium. RNAcentral's name for it is "partial 16S ribosomal RNA". It matches the Rfam family "Bacterial small subunit ribosomal RNA", at positions 505 to 807 of the family's 1533-position model. The record is from RNAcentral.